This 498-nucleotide ribosomal RNA is filed under the name uncultured bacterium. RNAcentral's name for it is "partial 16S ribosomal RNA". It matches the Rfam family "Bacterial small subunit ribosomal RNA", at positions 28 to 507 of the family's 1533-position model. The record is from RNAcentral.
GACGAACGCUGGCGGCGUGCCUAAUACAUGCAAGUCGAGCGGACGAAUCGAAAGCUUGCUUUUGAUUCGUUAGCGGCGGACGGGUGAGUAACACGUGGGCAACCUGCCCUGUAGACGGGGAUAACACCGAGAAAUCUGUGCUAAUACCGGAUAACACGAAAUGUCGCAUGACGUUUCGUUGAAAGAGGGCGCAAGCGGUCGCUACAGGAGGGGCCCGCGGCGCUUUAGCUAGUUGGUGAGGUAACGGCUCACCAAGGCGACGAUGCGUAGCCGACCUGAGAGGGUGAUCGGCCACACUGGGACUGAGACACGGCCCAGACUCCUACGGGAGGCAGCAGUAAGGAAUCUUCCGCAAUGGACGAAAGUCUGACGGAGCAACGCCGCGUGAGCGAAGAAGGCCUUCGGGUCGUAAAGCUCUGUUGUUAGGGAAGAACAAGUAACGCAGUAACUGGCGUUACCGUGACGGUACCUAACGAGAAAGCCACGGCUAACUACGUG